AGCAGCCGCGGUAAUUCCAGCUCCAAUAGCGUAUAUUAAAGUUGUUGCAGUUAAAAAGCUCGUAGUUGAAUUUCGGGGUUAGUAGGUUGGUCAUGCCUCUGGUAUGUACUGGUCUCACUGAUUCCUCCUUCCUGAUGAGCCGUAAUGCCAUUAAUUUGGUGUUGCGGGGAAUUUGGACUGUUACUUUGAAAAAUUAGAGUGUUUAAAGCAAGCUAACGCUUGAAUACAUUAGCAUGGAAUAAUGAAAUAGGACGUUCGAUCCUAUUUUGUUGGUUUCUAGGAUUGACGUAAUGAUUAAUAGGGAUAGUUGGGGGCAUUAGUAUUCAAUUGUCAGAGGUGAAAUUCUUGGAUUUAUUGAAGACUAACUACUGCGAAAGCAUUUGCCAAGGAUGUUUUCAUUAAUCAAGAACGAAAGUUAGGGGAUCGAAGACGAUCGGAUACCGUCGUAGUCUUAACCAUAAACUAUGCCGACUAGGGAUCGGAUGAUGUUAAUUUUAAUGACUCAUUCGGCGCCUUACGG
This 520-nucleotide unclassified non-coding RNA is filed under the name uncultured Glomus. RNAcentral's name for it is "SSU rRNA". It matches the Rfam family "Eukaryotic small subunit ribosomal RNA", at positions 569 to 1093 of the family's 1831-position model. Lineage: Eukaryota; Fungi; Glomeromycota; Glomeromycetes; Glomerales; Glomeraceae. The record is from RNAcentral.